UACCACGAAGGGCCUGACGAAGUCUAAGUGUCGACAAUUGCCUGCCACGCAGGGCCUGACAACGUCUUGAAGAUGACACUUGCCUACCACGAAGGGCCUGACAAGGUCUAAGUGGCGACAAUUGCCUACCCCGAAGGGCCUGACAAUGCCAAAAGUGACCACCUGCCGAAGAGGCUACCAUCGAAUGGUCAGCGAGUCCUCCCGAUCCUCCUAACACCAAUGAACUGAGCAGCAACAGAGACAAAAUUUGAGAAAAGAGGAACUUUUAUUGAUGAUGAUGUAAACAUUUACAUACUUCCGAUAUACUGAUAUUGAAUCUACUGAAAGUA
This 329-nucleotide long non-coding RNA is filed under the name Panax ginseng (ginseng). RNAcentral describes it as "long non-coding RNA (PGIN_LNC014098)". The record is from RNAcentral. Lineage: Eukaryota; Viridiplantae; Streptophyta; Magnoliopsida; Apiales; Araliaceae.